GGGAUAUGGCGAAAUUGGUAGACGCUACGGACU
RNAcentral lists this transfer RNA (33 nucleotides) under Yucca brevifolia. RNAcentral's name for it is "partial tRNA-Leu". Lineage: Eukaryota; Viridiplantae; Streptophyta; Magnoliopsida; Asparagales; Asparagaceae. The record is from RNAcentral.